RNAcentral lists this ribosomal RNA (253 nucleotides) under uncultured bacterium. Its description in RNAcentral is "partial 16S ribosomal RNA". It matches the Rfam family "Bacterial small subunit ribosomal RNA", at positions 524 to 776 of the family's 1533-position model. The record is from RNAcentral.
UACGUAGGGUGCAAGCGUUGUCCGGAAUUAUUGGGCGUAAAGAGCUCGUAGGCGGUUUGUCGCGUCGACUGUGAAAACUCGAGGCUUAACCUCGAGCCUGCAGUCGAUACGGGCAGACUAGAAUUCGGUAGGGGAGACUGGAAUUCCUGGUGUAGCGGUGAAAUGCGCAGAUAUCAGGAGGAACACCGGUGGCGAAGGCGGGUCUCUGGGCCGAUAUUGACGCUGAGGAGCGAAAGCGUGGGGAGCGAACAGG